Molecule: ribosomal RNA, 395 nt
Filed under: uncultured Clostridium sp.
Lineage: Bacteria; Bacillati; Bacillota; Clostridia; Eubacteriales; Clostridiaceae
Description: bacterial SSU rRNA
Rfam family: Bacterial small subunit ribosomal RNA
Source: RNAcentral
UGGGGAAUAUUGCACAAUGGGGGGAACCCUGAUGCAGCAACGCCGCGUGAAGGAAGAAGGGUUUUCGGCUCGUAAACUUCUAUCAAUAGGGACGAAAUAAAUGACGGUACCUAAAUAAGAAGCCCCGGCUAACUACGUGCCAGCAGCCGCGGUAAUACGUAGGGGGCAAGCGUUAUCCGGAAUUACUGGGUGUAAAGGGAGAGUAGGCGGCAUGGUAAGCAAGAUGUGAAAGCCUUAGGCUUAACUUGAGGAUUGCAUUUUGAACUAUCAAAGCUAGAGUACAGGAGAGGUAAGCGGAAUUCCUAGUGUAGCGGUGAAAUGCGUAGAUAUUAGGAAGAACACCAGUGGCGAAGGCGGCUUACUGGACUGAAACUGACGCUGAGGCUCGAAAGCGU